GAUGAACGCUGGCGGCGUGCCUAAUACAUGCAAGUCGAGCGAACAGACGAGGAGCUUGCUCCUUUGACGUUAGCGGCGGACGGGUGAGUAACACGUGGAUAACCUACCUAUAAGACUGGGAUAACUUCGGGAAACCGGAGCUAAUACCGGAUAAUAUAUUGAACCGCAUGGUUCAAUAGUGAAAGACGGUUUUGCUGUCACUUAUAGAUGGAUCCGCGCCGCAUUAGCUAGUUGGUAAGGUAACGGCUUACCAAGGCGACGAUGCGUAGCCGACCUGAGAGGGUGAUCGGCCACACUGGAACUGAGACACGGACCAGGCGCCUACGGGAGGCAGCAGUAGGGAAUCUUCCGCAAUGGGCGAAAGCCUGACGGAGCAACGCCGCGUGAGUGAUGAAGGUCUUCGGAUCGUAAAACUCUGUUAUUAGGGAAGAACAAAUGUGGAAGUAACUGUGCACGUCUUGACGGUACCUAAUCAGAAAGCCACGGCUAACUACGUG
RNAcentral lists this ribosomal RNA (497 nucleotides) under uncultured bacterium. RNAcentral describes it as "partial 16S ribosomal RNA". It matches the Rfam family "Bacterial small subunit ribosomal RNA", at positions 28 to 507 of the family's 1533-position model. The record is from RNAcentral.